GCUAGCGUAGCUCAAUUGGCAGAGCUCCCGACUUGUAAUCGGAAGGUUGCGGGUUCAAGUCCCAUCGCUAGCUCCA
This 76-nucleotide transfer RNA is filed under the name bacterium. RNAcentral's name for it is "tRNA-Thr". It matches the Rfam family "tRNA". Rfam says of the family: Transfer RNA (tRNA) molecules are approximately 80 nucleotides in length. Their secondary structure includes four short double-helical elements and three loops (D, anti-codon, and T loops). Further hydrogen bonds mediate the characteristic L-shaped molecular structure. tRNAs have two regions of fundamental functional importance: the anti-codon, which is responsible for specific mRNA codon recognition, and the 3' end, to which the tRNAs corresponding amino acid is attached (by aminoacyl-tRNA synthetases). tRNAs cope with the degeneracy of the genetic code in two manners: having more than one tRNA (with a specific anti-codon) for a particular amino acid; and 'wobble' base-pairing, i.e. permitting non-standard base-pairing at the 3rd anti-codon position. The record is from RNAcentral.